GACGAACGCUGGCGGCGUGCUUAACACAUGCAAGUCGAACGGAAAGGCCCUGCUUUUGUGGGGUGCUCGAGUGGCGAACGGGUGAGUAACACGUGAGUAACCUGCCCUUGACUUUGGGAUAACUUCAGGAAACUGGGGCUAAUACCGGAUAGGAGCUCCUGCUGCAUGGUGGGGGUUGGAAAGUUUCGGCGGUUGGGGAUGGACUCGCGGCUUAUCAGCUUGUUGGUGGGGUAGUGGCUUACCAAGGCUUUGACGGGUAGCCGGCCUGAGAGGGUGACCGGCCGCAUUGGGACUGAGAUACGGCCCAGACUCCUACGGGAGGCAGCAGUGGGGAAUAUUGCACAAUGGGCGGAAGCCUGAUGCAGCAACGCCGCGUGCGGGAUGACGGCCUUCGGGUUGUACACCGCUUUCGCCUGUGACGAAGCGUGAGUGACGGUAAUGGGUAAAGAAGCACCGGCUAACUACGUG
RNAcentral lists this ribosomal RNA (468 nucleotides) under uncultured bacterium. RNAcentral's name for it is "partial 16S ribosomal RNA". It matches the Rfam family "Bacterial small subunit ribosomal RNA", at positions 28 to 507 of the family's 1533-position model. The record is from RNAcentral.